CCGAGCGAGGGCCCCGCGCCCGACCUCCAACCCUUUUGAAGUUACCGACCCUGUUGCCUCGGGGGUGACCCGGCCCCCGCGCCGGCGCCCCCGGAGGACCACACCACUCUGCGUUCCUGCGUCGGAGUUUGAGGGAGAAUAUUAAUCA
This 148-nucleotide unclassified non-coding RNA is filed under the name soil metagenome. Its description in RNAcentral is "partial internal transcribed spacer 1". The record is from RNAcentral.